AGUGAACGCUGGCGGUAGGCCUAACACAUGCAAGUCGAACGGCAGCACAGUAAGAGCUUGCUCUUACGGGUGGCGAGUGGCGGACGGGUGAGGAAUACAUCGGAAUCUACUUUUUCGGGGGGGAUAACGUAGGGAAACUUACGCUAAUACCGCAUACGACCUACGGGUGAAAGCAGGGGAUCUUCGGACCUUGCGCGUUUGAAUGAGCCGAUGUCGGAUUAGCUAGUUGGCGGGGUAAAGGCCCACCAAGGCGACGAUCCGUAGCUGGUCUGAGAGGAUGAUCAGCCACACUGGAACUGAGACACGGUCCAGACUCCUACGGGAGGCAGCAGUGGGGAAUAUUGGACAAUGGGCGCAAGCCUGAUCCAGCCAUACCGCGUGGGUGAAGAAGGCCUUCGGGUUGUAAAGCCCUUUUGUUGGGAAAGAAAAGCAGCAGGUUAAUACCCCGCUGUUCUGACGGUACCCAAAGAAUAAGCACCGGCUAACUUCGUG
RNAcentral lists this ribosomal RNA (492 nucleotides) under uncultured bacterium. RNAcentral describes it as "partial 16S ribosomal RNA". It matches the Rfam family "Bacterial small subunit ribosomal RNA", at positions 29 to 507 of the family's 1533-position model. The record is from RNAcentral.